This 342-nucleotide ribosomal RNA is filed under the name Colubotelson sp. Its description in RNAcentral is "LSU rRNA". It matches the Rfam family "Eukaryotic large subunit ribosomal RNA", at positions 1295 to 1638 of the family's 3401-position model. Lineage: Eukaryota; Metazoa; Arthropoda; Malacostraca; Isopoda; Phreatoicidae. The record is from RNAcentral.
AGCCGAAUUAACCAGCCCUGAAAAUUGAUGGCGCUAAGCGUGACACCGAUACUCAACCAUUGGAGCAAACAGAUGCCCCAAUGAGUAAGAGGGCGUGGACAUUGUGCUGAAGGCCAGGGCGUGAGCCCGGCUGGAACGAUGUCUAGUGCAGAUCUUGGUGGUAGUAGCAAAUAUUCAAAUGAGAACUUUGAAGACCGAAGUGGAGAAGGGUUCCAUGAGAACAGCAUUUGAUCAUGGGUUACUCGAUCCUAAGGCAUAGGGAAAUUCCUUGUAAUACAUUCGCGUUUACGCGAUUGGUCAAAAGGGAAUGAGGUGGAUAUUCCUCAAGCUGCGCGAGAGGUG